GAUGAACGCUAGCGGCAGGCUUAACACAUGCAAGUCGAGGGGUAUAGUAGCAAUACUAGAGACCGGCGCACGGGUGCGUAACGCGUAUGCAACCUACCUUUUACAGAGGGAUAGCCCCAGAGAAAUUUGGAUUAAUACCUCAUAGUGUUAUUAGAUGGCAUCAUUUGAUAACUAAAGUUCCAACGGUAAAGAUGGCAUGCGUCCUAUUAGCUAGAUGGUAAGGUAACGGCUUACCAUGGCUACGAUAGGUAGGGGUCCUGAGAGGAGAUCCCCCACACUGGUACUGAGACACGGACCAGACUCCUACGGGAGGCAGCAGUGAGGAAUAUUGGACAAUGGGCGCAAGCCUGAUCCAGCCAUGCCGCGUGCA
Molecule: ribosomal RNA, 370 nt
Filed under: uncultured bacterium
Lineage: Bacteria
Description: bacterial SSU rRNA
Rfam family: Bacterial small subunit ribosomal RNA
Source: RNAcentral